Molecule: long non-coding RNA, 1137 nt
Filed under: Musa acuminata (dwarf banana)
Lineage: Eukaryota; Viridiplantae; Streptophyta; Magnoliopsida; Zingiberales; Musaceae
Description: long non-coding RNA (MACU_LNC010938)
Source: RNAcentral
GGCUGUGUUCCACUAAGGGAAAAGUUUGAAUGCAAGUACCAGUGAGUCCCAUGAGAGGGACUUGAUCAUGUAGAGGUAUGAUCGAAGCAGCUAGAGAGUUGGACUGCUCUAGAGCCUAUAUUCGCUUAAGGGAGCCCGGCAAGUCAGAGGACAAGGUCGAGUAAGCGAACGUUGCUACCAAGGAAGCUAAGGAGAACAGAAUCGGUGCAAACCCUAUAAUGCGAUGGCAGAGGCCAUGCAUGGGAGUUGCAGUCUGUCUUUCCAUCGACCAAAGGGAGCUGCUUGGAGAACACAGAGGUGUUGAAGCAGGGAGUCGAAAGGGGCGAGGAAGCGAAGACGAGUCCAGAGGGACUUAGCUACCCAAAAUCAAGCAUCAGUUAGAAUGGAGGUGGAUGUUAGGACUCUAGCUUGGAGAGUCCUAAUUGAGAGGGACAUUCAUGUAAAACCUACCUAAGUCGACCCCUAUUAAAGAGAUAAAGAGGCCGGUUAGGGUUAGGAGGUUGUUUCUUAGAGAAGAAUUAGGAGUUGUAAAGGAAUAGGAGUCUUAAGUAGGAGUCCUAUUAGGAGUUGGUUAGAAGUAGGAGUCUUGAGUAGGAGUCCUAUUAGGAGUUAGGGUUUAGAAGCCCUAUAAAUAGUCAUAUAUUCCUCCUCUUUUCAUAAGCAAUAGAUGAAUCUUUUCUGCAGCCUUUAAGCAGCAACUUAGAGGGAGGAACCCCUAUAGAGUUCCAAGGAGGCCGAUCCCCUAAAGAGAUCAACCCCAAGUUUAGAAUCUGCAAGGGUUCUAACACCUGGUAUUAGAGCAGCGUUCUUGGCAUCUCGCUGCCCUUCCACAGCCAUCCAUCAACCCUCCACAACCGUCCAAAGCAAUUCCCACAAUUGCUUAAAAGAUCGUCGCCGAAUUCCGCCAUCAUCUCCACCACCGCGGAUCAUCCUUUGAUCUCCCCGUGAAUUGCAACAGGUUCUGGUUUCCUACCUUACUGCUGCUGCAAUUUAGUUAUCCUUAUUCGAAAAUCCAAAAAAAAAAAAAAAUUGUUCCUAUAUUGCUGCAUAAACUUUUCGUCACAAAGUUUUCAUCUCUACGACGAAAGAUACAUUGUAGAAUUCCAGCCGCAUAGCACCAUCUGUUUGAUCUUGCUA